Mus musculus (house mouse) is the source of this 5334-nucleotide RNA transcript. It is a transcript of the gene named neutral sphingomyelinase (N-SMase) activation associated factor, with no coding region annotated. The transcript is spliced from 34 exons. The record is from RefSeq and is marked validated. Lineage: Eukaryota; Metazoa; Chordata; Mammalia; Rodentia; Muridae.
GCUGUGCCUGGCAACUGUUGAAUAUAUUAACAGGAAUGCAGUGUGUGAUACAAUGGAAUACACUUCCGUGAUAAAAAGGAAUAGAAUGUUGACUUGUGCUAUACCUCAGACGAACCUUGGAAGCAUUGUGCUAAAUGAAAGAAAUCAGACACAAAGACCACAUAUUGUAUGGAUGUUUUUAUUCUAGAUGUCCAGGCUAGGCAAAUUCACAGAGACAGAAAGUUAAGUACUGUUUUCUAGGGCAAAGGUUUGUGGAGAUGCACCUAGGAGUAGUGAUUGCUAAAAGGUAAAGGUUUCUUUUUGAGAUAGUAAAAAUAUCCCAUCACUGUGAUAAUAGUUGCAACCUAAAUAUGAAUAUUACUAAGAACCGCUACACCAUACACGGGCGAAAAAAAUAAAAUAAAAUCCCAUCGAUUAUUUAUUUCAAAGACUGAAAUUUGGGACUAAACAUCCAAAAACCUUGUUAUUUCAAAUCCCCGCCGCCAACGAACUGGGGGGCUCCCGGGCAGGUCUCAGGCUCACGUGGGAGGUAUCCUCGCCGCAGCAGCGCUGCAGAGGUUAGUCGGGGCAGUGUAGGACGCGGCUCCCGCGGCCUCAGGUCACUGCGCGCCCCUCCUCCGGGCCUGAGUCACGGCGUCGCCCGAGUCCCCACGCGAGGAUGCUGCGGUGAGCGCCGUCCGGACGCCGCGGGCCCUGGGGCGCAGCGUGGGGCUCCCGGCCGCCCGCCCGCCUGCCCGCCCGGUGCGGCCGCUCGGGACUGCUCGGGACAGUCGGCGGCCUGCGAGCCCUGGGCCUCCAUGGCGUUCACCCGGAAGAGGCAGCGCGAGCAGCAGCUGCAGCUCUACUCCAAGGAGAGAUGCGGGUUUGUCUGUGGGAGCCGGGAUCCGACGGUCACGUUGUUGCUGAGUGGAUCCAGCGAAGCAGGCUAUGCCAGGAAAUGCAGGUUUUCCUUACUGCUUCUCAACUUGGAGGAGUACUACUUUGAGCAGCACACAGCGUUCCAUGUCCAGCACCAGGGCAGCCAGGAAGAAAGGAAAAUCAGAGGCUCCUUAAAGAUAUGUUCAAAAUCAGUGAUUUUUGAACCAGAUGCAAUAUCUCAGCCCAUUCUUAAGAUUCCUUUGAGAGACUGUUUAAAAAUAGGAAAACAUGGAGAAAAUGGAGCCAAUAAACACUUUGCAAAGGCAAAAUCAUGGGGUAUUUCACUCAUUUUCAGUCAGAUAUACUUUAUUAAGGAGCACAACAUUGUGGCACCGUAUAAGAUAGAGCGGGGAAAAAUGGAGUAUGUCUUUGAACUGGAAGUUUCUGGGAAGGUGGAAGAUGUUGUGGAGACAUUGCUACAGCUGCACAGAGCAUCCUGCCUUGAUAAACUUGGUGACCAAAUGGCCAUGAUAACAGCUAUCUUGCAGUCACGUCUGGCUAGGACAUCAUUUGACAAAAACAGGUUCCAAAGUGUUUCUGAAAAGCUGCACAUGGAGUGCAAAGCAGAGAUGGUAACACCUCUAGUGACGAACCCUGGGCAUGUGUGCAUUACAGACACCAGCCUGUAUUUCCAGCCUCUCAAUGGGUACCCGAAACCUGUGGUCCAGAUAACACUGCAGGAUGUCCGGCGCAUUUACAAAAGGAGGCACGGCCUCAUGCCUUUGGGCUUGGAAGUGUUUUGCACAGAUGACGACCUGUGUUCCGACAUAUACCUAAAGUUCUAUGAGCCUCAAGACAGAGAUGAUCUCUAUUUUUAUAUCGCCACGUACCUAGAACACCACGCUGCAGAACACACUGCGGAGAGCUACAUGCUGCAGUGGCAGCGAGGGCACCUUUCCAACUACCAGUACCUGCUCCACCUCAACAACCUGGCCGACCGCAGCUGCAAUGACCUGUCCCAGUACCCUGUGUUUCCAUGGAUAAUAAGUGAUUACUCCAGCCCAGAGCUAGAUUUGUCAAAUCCUGCAACCUUCCGAGAUCUUAGUAAGCCAGUGGGAGCCCUAAAUGCGGAGCGACUGGAGAGACUGCUGACUCGAUACCAGGAAAUGCCUGAGCCAAGAUUCAUGUAUGGGAGUCACUACUCUUCUCCAGGCUAUGUGCUCUUUUACCUCGUUAGGAUCGCACCAGAGUAUAUGCUGUGUCUACAAAAUGGAAGAUUUGAUAAUGCAGAUAGGAUGUUUAACAGUAUUGCAGAAACGUGGAAAAACUGUUUGGAUGGUGCAACGGAUUUUAAAGAGUUGAUUCCAGAAUUCUAUGAUGAAGACGUCAGCUUUUUGGUCAAUAGUCUGAAGCUGGAUCUGGGAAAGAGACAAGGCGGGCAGAUGGUUGAUGACGUGGACCUUCCAGCCUGGGCCUCAAGUCCCCAAGACUUCCUGCAGAAGAACAAGGAUGCCUUGGAAAGCGGUUACGUGUCUGAGCACCUUCAUGAGUGGAUUGAUCUGAUAUUUGGCUAUAAGCAAAAAGGGAGUGAGGCCAUAGGGGCCCAUAACGUGUUUCAUCCCCUGACCUAUGAAGGUGGUGUAGACUUGAACAGCAUUGAGGAUCCUGAUGAAAAAGUAGCCAUGCUGACCCAAAUUUUGGAAUUUGGGCAGACACCAAAACAGCUGUUUGUGACACCACAUCCUCGAAGGAUCACCCCCAAGUUUAAAAGUUUGUCCCAAGCCUCCAGCUACAACGCUUCUCUGACAGACUCCCCAGUUUCUCCAGGGGAGGAGUCGUUUGAAGACCUGACUGAGGAAAGCAGAACUCUGGCCUGGAGUAAUAUCGCCAAGCUGCAGCUACAUGAGCAGUACAAGAUCCACAAAGAGGCGGUUACAGGGAUAGCAGUGUCUUGCAAUGGCUCUUCAGUCUUUACCACCUCCCAAGAUUCCACUUUGAAGAUGUUUUCUAAGGAAUCCAAAAUGCUACAAAGAAGUAUAUCAUUUUCCAAUAUGGCUUUAUCCUCUUGUUUACUGUUGCCGGGAGACACCACUGUCAUAAGUUCUUCUUGGGAUAACAACGUCUAUUUUUAUUCCAUAGCAUUUGGAAGACGCCAAGAUACACUGAUGGGACAUGACGAUGCUGUCAGUAAGAUCUGUUGGCAUAACGACAGGCUGUACUCUGGAUCUUGGGACUCUACUGUGAAGGUGUGGUCCGGUGUUCCUGCAGAAAUGCCAGGAACAAAAAGACACCAGUUUGACUUACUGGCUGAGCUUGAACAUGAUGUCAGCAUGACUUAUCUACUGGAGAAGAAAAGAAAUGCUGUACUUCGUGUCCCUCCUCUCCUCCAGUCAGAGUUUUGCUUCUAGCAUUGUUUAGUGGUUUGGUUUUGUUCUUUAACUAGGGCAUUUUUGUUCUUCAGGAUGUUUAGACCAUGGAAAGAUUUUCUUUAUCCUGCAAUUAUGGCAGACACUUUUGCUGGAUACCAUAAAAAGUUGGCAGUUGGUCUUUCCGAAUGUGUACUGCAUUGUUCGGAGCUCUUCAGGCUUUCAGAGUUUCCAUUGCAAAAUUAGGAAUUGUUGUGAUUUGUUUUCCUUCGCAUGUGACCUGUUUUUUCCUUUGCAGAUUUCUCUGUUCAGUACGUUCAGUGUCUUCAUUGUGAUGCACUGGGAGGUGUUUCUCUUUGGGUCCUGCUUAGCUGAGGUUCUCUGUGCUUCUUGUAUGUAAUGUCUUUCCUUAGUUUCAGGAAGUUUCCUUCCAUGAUCUGGUCUGUGCUACUCUCUUGGGAUUCUUUCUUCAAUAUGCCUAUAAUAUGAAGAUUUGUUCUUUUGAUGAUGUCCCAUAUUUCCUGUAAAAUCCUUUCGUGUAUGUUAGAAAGUUUCGUUUUCUUUGCUUAUUUAAUAUACAUCCUCUAUCUCCAAGUCCUGAUAUUCUGUCUUCUGCUUGGACGAUUUCCCCCUGAAGUUUCUCACUGGGUUAAUUUUCCAAUUCAUCUUGGCUUGUAUUUCCAUCUCUUUAUUAAAUUCAGUUUUGAAAUCUUAAAUUCUCUUUAUUGAAGUUCUUGGAUAUUUCUCAGGUGUUUGUUAUUCUCAUGUUAGACUUAAGUGAAGUAUUUAUGUCUUCAUUAAAUUCCUAAAUGAAUUAUUAGGUAAAAAUUUGAUUGUUCUUUUAAAUUGUACCCUGGGGUUCAUCUAGGGAGGUCUGAGUAGAGAGCACUUGUAUGGGUUAGUGAGUGAGAAGACAUAGUGCUGUGGUCUUUCGUUGUUUGUUUGAUUUGACCUCAGCAUGUGGACUUCUUGGGUGUGUCUGGUGUGUUCGCCUGGCCUUCCUUAGACUGGGCCAAUGCAGGAGAUGUAUCACCUGAGCUAGACCAAGUAAAGCUGGAGCAGCUGUUUAAUUGGACCAAGAAAAGAGUGCUUCCAAACCACAGCUCUAGAUGUAGGCCAGGAAGAGGGGCCACAGGUCAAUACUAUCAAUUUAAAUGCUGUGAGCACACUGUUAGUUUCUGGCACCAAAGAAGGCAUGGUGAAUAUUUGGGACCUCACUACAGCCACUUUAUUACACCAGACUUCAUGCCAUUCAGGGACAGUAUGUGAUGCUGCUUUUAGCCCAGAUAGUCGCCACAUCCUCAGCACGGGCGUAGAUGGAUGUCUCAAUGUGAUUGAUGUGCAGACGGGCAUGCUCAUCUCCUCCAUGGCCUCAGAGGAGCCGCAGAGGUGCUUUGUCUGGGAUGGAAAUUCUGUCUUAUCUGGAAGUCGGUCUGGUGAGCUGCUUGUUUGGGACCUCCUUGGAGCAAAAGUCAGUGAGCGGAUUCAGGGCCACACUGGUGCUGUGACAUGCAUGUGGAUGAACGAACAGUGUAGCAGUAUUAUCACCGGAGGGGAAGACAGACAAAUUAUGUUCUGGAAAUUGCAGUAUUAAGUGCCUUUUCCUCUCCAUCAAGUACAAUUCUACUUAAUGUAUUUUAAACCAGACUUUAAACUGGUGAAUGUGCAAUGAUAGUACUUAGAAGUUUUACCACAUGAAGAAUGUGUGGUUUCAACUUCCUAAAUCAUGGUGACUUCAUUCAGAGCCAUUUGUUGUCAUCCAUUAAGCAGAUAUAACAUGGCAGUGUUAGGGGAAAGGACAGAGAACUAUCAACCAUGACAACAGUUUGAAGACUACUGGGUGUUCAGGAUAAACCCAGUCGGACUGAGGAACACUGGCCAGCACUGGCCAGCUCAGUCCCCAAGAGGACAGUCUGUAUUCAAGCUGCCCAGGUUCUGACGGUAACACGGUUCUUUGAUGUGCGGUCAUGGACUGGUUCCUUUCGGCAGUGCUGCGUGCCCAGAUUCUUAAUAACAUUAAGUCUGUUACUGUGUAUAGCAAUGGUUUAUAUUUCAUUAUGCUACUAAAGGUUCAUCUUUUCUACAUUAAAAAUAUUUUUCUGUAAUGAAA